This 520-nucleotide ribosomal RNA is filed under the name uncultured Glomus. Its description in RNAcentral is "SSU rRNA". It matches the Rfam family "Eukaryotic small subunit ribosomal RNA", at positions 569 to 1091 of the family's 1831-position model. Lineage: Eukaryota; Fungi; Glomeromycota; Glomeromycetes; Glomerales; Glomeraceae. The record is from RNAcentral.
AGCAGCCGCGGUAAUUCCAGCUCCAAUAGCGUAUAUUAAAGUUGUUGCAGUUAAAAAGCUCGUAGUUGAAUUUCGGGAUCAAUUUAUUGGUCGUGCUAUUGUACGUACUGGUAUUAUUGAUUCCUACCUUCUGACGAACCAUGAUGUCAUUAAUUUGGUGUCAUGGGGAAUCAGGACUGUUACUUUGAAAAAAUUAGAGUGUUUAAAGCAGGCUCACGCUUGAAUACAUUAGCAUGGAAUAACGAAAUAGGACGUUUGAUUCUAUUUUGUUGGUUUCUAGGAUCGACGUAAUGAUUAAUAGGGAUAGUUGGGGGCAUUAGUAUUCAAUUGUCAGAGGUGAAAUUCUUGGAUUUAUUGAAGACUAACUACUGCGAAAGCAUUUGCCAAGGAUGUUUUCAUUAAUCAAGAACGAAAGUUAGGGGAUCGAAGACGAUCAGAUACCGUCGUAGUCUUAACCAUAAACUAAUGCCGACUAGGGAUCGGAUGAUGUUAAUUUUUAAUGACUCAUUCGGCGCCUUAA